UGUUACCUGCGGUGAUUGUAAUAAGGCUUAAGUCUCUUGACCUUAAUUAAUAUUGCUAGGGGGCAAAACGCUGAGUGGUGUGCACGCCAUGUAUUUUGGAAGCCUAAGCUUUGCCAUUUUCUGCCUUCCACUUGAACGUACCAGUUCAAGAGCACAGUGCCGCAUACGUUAUUCGCGGGGCAGCC
Molecule: non-coding RNA, 185 nt
Filed under: Gammaproteobacteria bacterium
Lineage: Bacteria; Pseudomonadati; Pseudomonadota; Gammaproteobacteria
Description: 6S RNA
Rfam family: 6S / SsrS RNA
About the family: E. coli 6S RNA was the first non coding RNA to be sequenced, but its function was unknown until recently. It consists of 184 nucleotides that fold into an extended hairpin structure with a large single-stranded internal bulge. The 6S RNA specifically associates with RNA polymerase holoenzyme containing the sigma70 specificity factor.
Source: RNAcentral